GUAGCUCAAGAAAAUAAACUUAUUCUUUGAUCUCUCUAUGACAAUUGAGAAAAACACCUUCAUCCAGGUAAAUCACACUAGUUUAAAAAUUUGGAGAGGAUCUUGAGAUUAGAUUAGCUUUUGUUAAUAUGAGAGUUAGCCAUCAAUAUACGGUUGGUCCAAAACUAAGGAAAUCUACUCUAAUUAUGAUGGUAUGAAUUCC
RNAcentral lists this long non-coding RNA (202 nucleotides) under Elaeis guineensis (African oil palm). Its description in RNAcentral is "long non-coding RNA (EGUI_LNC048387)". Lineage: Eukaryota; Viridiplantae; Streptophyta; Magnoliopsida; Arecales; Arecaceae. The record is from RNAcentral.